AGUGAACGCUGGCGGUAGGCCUAACACAUGCAAGUCGAACGGCAGCACAGUAAGAGCUUGCUCUUACGGGUGGCGAGUGGCGGACGGGUGAGGAAUACAUCGGAAUCUACUUUUUCGUGGGGGAUAACGUAGGGAAACUUACGCUAAUACCGCAUACGACCUACGGGUGAAAGCAGGGGAUCUUCGGACCUUGCGCGAUUGAAUGAGCCGAUGUCGGAUUAGCUAGUUGGCGGGGUAAAGGCCCACCAAGGCGACGAUCCGUAGCUGGUCUGAGAGGAUGAUCGGCCACACUGGAAGUGAGACACGGUCCAGACUCCUACGGGAGGCAGCAGUGGGGAAUAUUGGACAGUGGGCGCAAGCCUGAUCCAGCCAUACCGCGUGGGUGAAGAAGGCCUUCGGGUUGUGAAGCCCUUUUGUUGGGAAAGAAAAGCAGCAGGUUAAUACCCCGCUGUUCUGACGGUACCCAAAGAAUAAGCACCGGCUAACUUCGUG
This 492-nucleotide ribosomal RNA is filed under the name uncultured bacterium. RNAcentral's name for it is "partial 16S ribosomal RNA". It matches the Rfam family "Bacterial small subunit ribosomal RNA", at positions 29 to 507 of the family's 1533-position model. The record is from RNAcentral.